Molecule: long non-coding RNA, 255 nt
Organism: Notothenia coriiceps (black rockcod)
Lineage: Eukaryota; Metazoa; Chordata; Actinopteri; Perciformes; Nototheniidae
Exons: 3
Source: RefSeq, a predicted model, not a curated record
AUAGUUUCCAGACCAUUCCACUGUGUGUGUGGACGAUUGUGACUGCAUCGAGGGACUGAACGAUCCUCGAGGCAGCGGUAUUCAGACCGGUCUGUGUGAGAACUUUUCUACAACUGUAAAAACCUGUGAGGUGAUCUCCUGGUGUCCUCUGGAGAUAGACUCUCAUCUGCCUGAUCAUGCUUUGCUGGAUUCAGCAGAGAACUUCACCGUGUUGAUCAAGAACAGCAUCACGUACCCAAAGUUCAACAUCCACAG